Molecule: transfer RNA, 74 nt
Filed under: Streptomyces roseolus
Lineage: Bacteria; Bacillati; Actinomycetota; Actinomycetes; Kitasatosporales; Streptomycetaceae
Description: tRNA-Arg
Source: RNAcentral
GGAGCCGGGGAAGCAGGGAGUGGCCGCCGGACCUGGCGGUGAGCUCGCGCGGGUUCGAAUCCCGUCGGCCCCGC